AAGGAUCAUUAUUGAAUCCUUAGGAUGUUGCUGGCCUUUGCAAAAGGGCAUGUGCACUCCGCCUUUCAAUCCACCUGUGCACUUAUUGUAGGCUUGUAAAGGGGGAAACCCUUGAUCAACCUACGUAUUUUACACACACUUAAAAGUAACAGAAUGUAACUUAGUAGACCUUGAAUGGUCGAAAACCUAAAUACAACUUUCAACAACGGAUCUCUUGGUUCUC
This 223-nucleotide unclassified non-coding RNA is filed under the name uncultured fungus. Its description in RNAcentral is "partial contains 18S rRNA, ITS1, 5.8S rRNA, ITS2 and 28S rRNA". The record is from RNAcentral. Lineage: Eukaryota; Fungi.